Molecule: long non-coding RNA, 247 nt
Filed under: Lathyrus oleraceus (garden pea)
Lineage: Eukaryota; Viridiplantae; Streptophyta; Magnoliopsida; Fabales; Fabaceae
Description: Pisum sativum (pea) long non-coding RNA (PSAT_LNC007427)
Source: RNAcentral
UUUGUUUCAUUCUAUGUUUGGGGUUGCUAUUGGAAUGUCAACAUAUAUGUUUGGGGUAGCUAUGCAGUAGUAAUAAAAGUGAGUUCACCUAAAAAGAGAGAAAAGUUGAAAAAAAAGCUUAACUAAAAAAACAAUAAUACACAUGAGCACUCACCAGAAGAAGAACUCAAUUGAAAAAAAUUGAGAAGUCCAAACUAGAUGACCAAAGAACAACAAUGUUUAAUCGAUUCCAACAAUGAUACUUUAG